AGUGAACGCUGGCGGUAGGCCUAACACAUGCCAGUCGAACGGCAGCACAGUAAGAGCUUGCUCUUACGGGUGGCGAGUGGCGGACGGGUGAGGAAUACAUCGGAAUCUACUUUUUCGUGGGGGAUAACGUAGGGAAACUUACGCUAAUACCGCAUACGACCUACGGGUGAAAGCAGGGGAUCUUCUGACCUUGCGCGAUUGAAUGAGCCGAUGUCGGAUUCGCUAGUUGGCGGGGUAAAGGCCCACCAAGGCGACGAUCCGUAGCUGGUCUGAGAGGAUGUUCAGCAAAACUGGAGAUGAGAAGAGGACAAGAAUCCUAGGGGAGGAAGAAGUGGGGAAUAGUGGAAAAUGGGCGAAAGACUGAUCCAGCCAUAGCGCGUGGGUGAAGAAGGCCUUCGGGUUGUAAAGCCCUUUUGUUGGGAAAGAAAAGCAGCAGGUUAAUACCCCGCUGUUCGGACGGUACCAAAAGAAUAAGCACCGGCUAACAUCGU
This 491-nucleotide ribosomal RNA is filed under the name uncultured bacterium. RNAcentral describes it as "partial 16S ribosomal RNA". It matches the Rfam family "Bacterial small subunit ribosomal RNA", at positions 29 to 506 of the family's 1533-position model. The record is from RNAcentral.